ACACAUAGUUACAUCCUAUAAACGUAUGAGGCUUAGCUAUUGGAUAGCCUUUAUUUGUAUCAAUGUAACUAACGUGAAGGAUGCAUAUUUAAAUCGUUAGUCACUUAACUAUUUCAAUAAAUCUUCAAACGACGCUUUAACUUGAGGAGCAAGAUAGAAUAGAUAUGUCUUUCACGGAACUUGCACACUGGAAUCGCAAAUUAGAAGUAGACAAGGACUUCAUAAUAAAGGGUCGUUGCAAAGUUAUAGAAGAAGCGGAGAAACCAGGCGGAUAUUCAAUUAACUUCCAGCAAACUAAAGACGAACAGAACGGCAUUAUUUUGCAUUUCAAUCCAAGAGCUCCAUCGCAGUCUCUUGUUUUGAAUACACUUCAAAAUGAAAACAACCAAAAAAAAUGGGGUCAUGAGAAAAAGAUUGUGGAUAACAGCGUCAAGGAAACUUUUUUUGUGAAUGAAUUCAAGCUGAAAGUUAGACCUCUAGCAGAAAACUUGAUUAGUCUGUCUGUGAAUGGCGAAUUCCUAACUGAAUAUGAAUGCACAGGCAAAAGGAUUACAGAUGCCAAAUUCUUAGUUUACUCACCAUCUAUUUUAAUUCAGCCAGAAUAAAGAAAUCAGGGAAUCCGUUAAGAAAUGUGUAGAAUUCAAUAAACAAUUUAAUCAAAAUGAUCUGCAUUAAUCAUAAUCAAUGAAAACGGUAAAGAUUUAUUAAUUGCUACUAUUCUUUUAAGCGGAUUGAUUAGAAGUUUGUAUUUUCAUUCCUAAACAAUAAAACAAAGUUUCAAAUUUG
Long non-coding RNA from Mytilus californianus (California mussel), 786 nucleotides. RefSeq lists it as uncharacterized. Lineage: Eukaryota; Metazoa; Mollusca; Bivalvia; Mytilida; Mytilidae. The transcript is spliced from 4 exons. The record is from RefSeq and is a predicted model, not a curated record.